GUGCUUGCUUUAGCAGAACAUAUACUAAAAUUGGAAUGAUACAGAGAAGAUUAGCAUGGCCCCUGCAUAAGAAUGACAUGCAAAUUCGUGAAGUGUUCCAUAUUAAA
RNAcentral lists this small nuclear RNA (107 nucleotides) under Castor canadensis (American beaver). The record is from RNAcentral. Lineage: Eukaryota; Metazoa; Chordata; Mammalia; Rodentia; Castoridae.